RNAcentral lists this ribosomal RNA (253 nucleotides) under uncultured bacterium. RNAcentral describes it as "partial 16S ribosomal RNA". It matches the Rfam family "Bacterial small subunit ribosomal RNA", at positions 524 to 776 of the family's 1533-position model. The record is from RNAcentral.
UACGUAGGGGGCAAGCGUUGUCCGGAAUCAUUGGGCGUAAAGAGCGUGUAGGCGGCCCGGUAAGUCCGCUGUGAAAGUCGGGGGCUCAACCCUCGAAUGCCGGUGGAUACUGUCGGGCUAGAGUGCGGAAGAGGCGAGUGGAAUCCUGGUGUAGCGGUGAAAUGCGCAGAUAUCAGGAGGAACACCAAUUGCGAAGGCAGCUCGCUGGGACGUAACUGACGCUGAGACGCGAAAAGCGUGGGGAGCAAACAGG